Non-coding RNA from Momordica charantia (bitter melon), 497 nucleotides. The record is from RefSeq and is a predicted model, not a curated record. NCBI's taxonomy places the organism in Eukaryota, Viridiplantae, Streptophyta, Magnoliopsida, Cucurbitales, Cucurbitaceae.
ACUAAAGUGGAGGGCCCCACUAAGACUUACUACCCACCAAGUCUCUCUGUAGUCUCUCCCCCUCUUCGCGCUGAGCAGGAGCAGCUUCAUCUUCUUCCUCAAGCCUCGUCAAAUUCUAGUUGAUAAUGGGAAGCAAAGCACCAAGCUGGGCGGAUCAGUGGGGUUCGGGCAAUUACGGAGUCGAAGAGGACGAGAACAGGGUGACAAAGAAGAAAGGGAGCAACAAUGGCAGUAGUAGCAAGAAGAUGGCAGAGGUAAAGGCAGCAGCCUCAGCUGGCUUUGUGAAGGCGAAGGCUGUUGCAGCAGUGGGUGCUCAAAAAGUGAAAUCUGGAACUUCAGUAGGCAUCAAAUGGGUCAAGAAUCAGUACCAGAAAAAGGUCUCCAAAUGACUGAAAAUGCAUGAACUUACCCUGUUGAACAUUUUUUCCUAAACAUAUAACUUGUAGUUUGGAUGCUUUUUGUGAAAACAAAUUUAGAUGAUUCUUGGUUUGCCUGCA